RNAcentral lists this ribosomal RNA (468 nucleotides) under uncultured bacterium. RNAcentral's name for it is "partial 16S ribosomal RNA". It matches the Rfam family "Bacterial small subunit ribosomal RNA", at positions 28 to 507 of the family's 1533-position model. The record is from RNAcentral.
GACGAACGCUGGCGGCGUGCUUAACACAUGCAAGUCGAACGGAAAGGCCCUGCUUUUGUGGGGUGCUCGAGUGGCGAACGGGUGAGUAACACGUGAGUAACCUGCCCUUGACUUUGGGAUAACUUCAGGAAACUGGGGCUAAUACCGGAUAGGAGCUCCUGCUCCAUGUUGGGGGUUGGAAAGUUUCGGCGGUUGGGGUUGGACUCGCGGCUUAUCAGCUUGUUGGUGGGGUAGUGGCUUACCAAGGCUUUGACGGGUAGCCGGCCUGAGAGGGUGACCGGCCACAUUGGGACUGAGAUACGGACCAGACUCCUACGGGAGGCAGCAGUGGGGAAUAUUGCACAAUGGGCGGAAGCGUGAUGCAGAAACGCCGCGUGCGGGAUGACGGCCUUCGGGUUGUAAACCGCUUUCGCCUGUGACGAAGCGUGAGUGACGGUAAUGGGUAAAGAAGCACCGGCUAACUACGUG